UAACUCCGGUUGAUCCUGCCGGACCCCACUGCUAUCGGGAUGGGACUAAGACAUGCUAGUCGUGCGCUUCCUAGCCACGGUGGAAGCGCGGCGCACAGCUCAGUAGCACGUGGCUAACCUGCCCUUGGGACGGGGACAACCCCGGGAAACUGGGGCUAAUCCCCGAUAGGUGAAGAACUCUGGAAUGAGUCUUCACUGAAAGGGCGCUUAGACCACGCAUUAAGCGCUGCCCAAGGAUGGGGCCGCGGCCGAUCAGGUUGUUGGUGAGGUAACGGCUCACCAAGCCUAUAACCGGUGCGGGCCGUGAGAGCGGGAGCCCGGAGAUGGGCACUGAGACAAGGGCCCA
Molecule: ribosomal RNA, 346 nt
Filed under: Candidatus Bathyarchaeota archaeon
Lineage: Archaea; Thermoproteati; Candidatus Bathyarchaeota
Description: bacterial SSU rRNA
Rfam family: Archaeal small subunit ribosomal RNA
Source: RNAcentral